RNAcentral lists this ribosomal RNA (400 nucleotides) under uncultured bacterium. Its description in RNAcentral is "bacterial SSU rRNA". It matches the Rfam family "Bacterial small subunit ribosomal RNA", at positions 356 to 773 of the family's 1533-position model. The record is from RNAcentral.
GGGGAAUCUUGCACAAUGGGGGCAACCCUGAUGCAGCGACGCCGCGUGAGUGAUGAAGCCCUUCGGGGUGUAAAGCUCUUUCGACAGGAACGAUAAUGACGGUACCUGGAGAAGAAGCUGCGGCUAACUACGUGCCAGCAGCCGCGGUAAUACGUAGGCAGCAAACGUUGUUCGGAAUUACUGGGCGUAAAGAGUGUGUAGGCGGUUUUGUAAGUUUGGUGUGAAAUCUCCCGGCUUAACUGGGAGGGUGCGCCGAAAACUGCAAGGCUUGAGUGCUGGAGAGGAGAGCGGAAUUCCUGGUGUAGCGGUGAAAUGCGUAGAUAUCAGGAGGAACACCGGCGGUGUAGACGGCUCUCUGGACAGUAACUGACGCUGAGACACGAAAGCGUGGGGAGCAAAC